This 478-nucleotide ribosomal RNA is filed under the name uncultured bacterium. RNAcentral's name for it is "partial 16S ribosomal RNA". It matches the Rfam family "Bacterial small subunit ribosomal RNA", at positions 28 to 523 of the family's 1533-position model. The record is from RNAcentral.
GACGAACGCUGGCGGCGUGCUUAACACAUGCAAGUCGAGCGAUGAAAUUCCUUCGGGAAUGGAUUAGCGGCGGACGGGUGAGUAACACGUGGGUAACCUGCCUCAUAGAGGGGAAUAGCCUUCCGAAAGGAAGAUUAAUACCGCAUAAGAUUGUAGUACCACAUGGUACAGCAAUUAAAGGAGUAAUCCGCUAUGAGAUGGACCCGCGUCGCAUUAGCUAGUUGGUGAGGUAACGGCUCACCAGGGCGACGAUGCGUAGCCGACCUGAGAGGGUGAUCGGCCACAUUGGGACUGAGACACGGCCCAGACUCCUACGGGAGGCAGCAGUGGGGAAUAUUGCACAAUGGGGGAAACCCUGAUGCAGCAACGCCGCGUGAGUGAUGACGGUCUUCGGAUUGUAAAACUCUGUCUUCAGGGAUGAUAAUGACGGUACCUGAGGAGGAAGCCACGGCUAACUACGUGCCAGCAGCCGCCGUAA